Molecule: ribosomal RNA, 468 nt
Filed under: uncultured bacterium
Lineage: Bacteria
Description: partial 16S ribosomal RNA
Rfam family: Bacterial small subunit ribosomal RNA
Source: RNAcentral
GACGAACGCUGGCGGCGUGCUUAACACAUGCAAGUCGAACGGAAAGGCCCUGUUUUUGUGGGGGGCUCGAGUGGCGAACGGGUGAGAAACACGGGAGUAACCGGCCCUUGACUUUGGGAUAACUCCAGGAAACUGGGGUUAUUACCGGAAAGGAGUCCCUGCUGCAUGGUGGGGGUUGGAAAGUUUCGGCGGUUGGGGAUGGACUCGCGGCUUAUCAGCUUGUUGGUGGGGUAGUGGCUUACCAAGGCUUUGACGGGUAGCCGGCCUGAGAGGGUGACCGGCCACAUUGGGACUGAGAUACGGCCCAGACUCCUACGGGAGGCAGCAGUGGGGAAUAUUGCACAAUGGGCGGAAGCCUGAUGCAGCAACGCCGCGUGCGGGAUGACGGCCUUCGGGUUGUAAACCGCUUUCGCCUGUGACGAAGCGUGAGUGACGGUAAUGGGUAAAGAAGCACCGGCUAACUACGUG